AACAGUACUCGAUCAAGCAUCUCUUCGAUCUUGCUUUCCUGAGUUUGGGGUGGUGGAUUUUGGUAGUAAGAGUUCGAGUAGUUCUUGCUGUUGUUGAAGGGUUUUUGAAAUUGUGAACUUUGGUUACUUCUUUGGCCAUUUCCAAAGAAGUUUCUGUUUCCGCCUUGGUUUCCAAAUUUCUGGAAUCCGGUACCUCCGAUGUAGUUCACAUCUUCUUCUCCUUCUGUCUCUGCUACUUCUCCUUCAGCUGAACAGACUUGCUUCCUAAGAAGC
RNAcentral lists this long non-coding RNA (273 nucleotides) under Brassica napus (rape). RNAcentral's name for it is "long non-coding RNA (BNAP_LNC010923)". Lineage: Eukaryota; Viridiplantae; Streptophyta; Magnoliopsida; Brassicales; Brassicaceae. The record is from RNAcentral.